ACAAGUUCAAAGAGACUGACCUUCAAGCUUCGCCAUCCAUAUUUUAGGAAUUACCUAAUAGGCGCUAACACAUCCAUCUUAUAAGAAUAGAAGAAAAUGAAUGCACAAUGAACAAAAUAGCUUAACAUAGCUAAAACACAUGUCAUGGGUGUAAACUAUAUAUGCAGUUUUUCAACACACAAGUGAUAACUGAAGUUUUGCAAAGCAAACAUUACAAAACGGCAAGAUGCUUACUCAACAAAUUCAUUCGGCAAUUGAGACCAUUAAGUCUAUUUUUUCUUUUAAGAAAAAUCUAUCCAAACAACAUCUGAACAAAAUUAUACAAAUAACAAACUCUUAAUUAAUGCUCUUAGUGAAACACUAACUACUAGAAAAGGACAGACCAAUUUUGGCAUAAUUAUGUUGAAAAUACCCAAAUAAUUCAUUAUUGCCUAAAUCAAAAACUCAAGAUAGUGAUGGUAGAAGCACACGAUUCGCAAGAUUAAUUUUGAAACAAAUAAGAACCAAUAACAAUUUUAUCCAUGACAAAGUUUCAGUCAAAACCGAGAACAUAUCAAUAUAUAACACCAAACAAUUCAGAAUUUUAUUUUAUAGAUUUGGUAGAUAACUACACAAGAAUCUGACACACCUGACAAUAGGAAAUCGGGAGGAACCGACCAAAUAAAAGUCUGAAAUACAGGAUUAAAGUUCAAACAUCAGCAGAGAAAAGGAACAAGAACGAAACUCCUCAGCAAACCCAGAGAAUCGAUACCAAAAACCAGAAGAAGUCGAAGCUAGUCCCUUAAAUUCCGACUUCCCUUUUUUUUUUUGUUCGAAACUUUUUUUUAAAAGAUUUUUUUAGAUCUUUUUUAAUUGUAGAGUGUUUCUGCGUUGCGUCUGUGGGGCGACGGACUAGGACGGGCAACGGUAUGGGCUUUUAGGCUGUUUUUAUGGUUUAAAAAUGGGGCAACAGUAGUACCUAUUUAAGGAGAAAAUAGAGGUGUUUGGGUGGUGGAUUGGCUAUAUGGUCUUGUGAUUUGAGUGUAAUAUGAAACUUCCAUGUGUUUCUCUUGAGGAAGAAGAGGGAGGGACGGCUGUCUUGAGAAGAUGAAAGGAUUAGAGUGGCUAGGAUUUUUUGUUUAAAGGGC
Molecule: long non-coding RNA, 1127 nt
Filed under: Nicotiana tabacum (common tobacco)
Lineage: Eukaryota; Viridiplantae; Streptophyta; Magnoliopsida; Solanales; Solanaceae
Description: long non-coding RNA (NTAB_LNC003709)
Source: RNAcentral